Non-coding RNA from Podarcis lilfordi (Lilford's wall lizard), 79 nucleotides. NCBI's taxonomy places the organism in Eukaryota, Metazoa, Chordata, Lepidosauria, Squamata, Lacertidae. The record is from the annotation of a GenBank genome assembly.
AUAUAUAUAUAUACAUGCAUAUACAUAUAUACAUAUAUUAUAUAUAUAUGUGCGUGUGUGUGUAUGUAUGUAUGUAUGU